AGUAGUGGUAUCAACGCAUGGUUCACGGGACACUACGAACACUUUCCGACAAUCGUGAAAAUAGAUUUGGUAUUUCAUAAUCCAAACUGAUCCUAAUUCUACAA
Molecule: long non-coding RNA, 104 nt
Organism: Xenia sp. Carnegie-2017
Lineage: Eukaryota; Metazoa; Cnidaria; Anthozoa; Malacalcyonacea; Xeniidae
Exons: 3
Source: RefSeq, a predicted model, not a curated record